CCUAUUAUCUUAGGGGUAUACAUAAUAUAGCUUUCUACCAUAAUCUAGCGCUACACCCCAAUCUUAGCUUUAAUCUAGCACUGCAUCCUCUUAUCAUAAUCUACUAUUACAUUCCUUUAUCCAUAUACACUCGAGUGAUAGUGUAAUAGUACUAAAAGUUCUUAAAAAUGAAAGCAUUGGAACCUUGACCCAUAGUACUCUCUAUUUUCCCUUUAAACUCUAC
Molecule: long non-coding RNA, 223 nt
Filed under: Elaeis guineensis (African oil palm)
Lineage: Eukaryota; Viridiplantae; Streptophyta; Magnoliopsida; Arecales; Arecaceae
Description: long non-coding RNA (EGUI_LNC024106)
Source: RNAcentral